CGCACAUUGCGCCCGCCAGCAUUCUGGCGGGCAUGCCUGUUCGAGCGUCAUUUCAACCCUCGAGCUCCCCUUGGGGAGCCCGGCGUUGGGGACCGGCAGCACACCGCCGGCCCUGAAAUGGAGUGGCGGCCCGUCCGCGGCGACCUCUGCGUAGUAACAUCACCUCGCACCGGGAACCCGACGCGGCCACGCCGUAAAACACCCAACAUUCUGAACGUUGACCUCGGAUCAGGUAGGAAUACCCGCUGAACUUAA
This 255-nucleotide unclassified non-coding RNA is filed under the name Cordyceps sp. RNAcentral describes it as "partial contains 5.8S ribosomal RNA, internal transcribed spacer 2, and large subunit ribosomal RNA". The record is from RNAcentral. Lineage: Eukaryota; Fungi; Ascomycota; Sordariomycetes; Hypocreales; Cordycipitaceae.